This 265-nucleotide ribosomal RNA is filed under the name uncultured bacterium. RNAcentral's name for it is "partial 16S ribosomal RNA". It matches the Rfam family "Bacterial small subunit ribosomal RNA", at positions 793 to 1055 of the family's 1533-position model. The record is from RNAcentral.
GUCCACGCUGUAAACCAUGUCAACUAGGUGUCGGUGGUGUUACACUAUCGGUGCCGAAGCUAACGCGUUAAGUUGACCGCCUGGGGACUACGAGCGCAAGCUUAAAACUCAAAGGAAUUGACGGGGGCCCCGCACAAGCAGCGGAGCGUGUGGUUUAAUUCGAUGCAACACGAAGAACCUUACCUGGGCUUGACAUGAGCGUAGUAGUGAACCGAAAGGGGAACGAGCCUUCGGGCAGCGCCCACAGGUGUUGCAUGGCUGUCGU